GACGAACGCUGGCGGCGUGCUUAACACAUGCAAGUCGAACGGAAAGGCCCUGCUUUUGUGGGGUGCUCGAGUGGCGAACGGGUGAGUAACACGUGAGUAACCUGCCCUUGACUUUGGGAUAACUUCAGGAAACUGGGGCUAAUACCGGAUAGGAGCUCCUGCUGCAUGGUGGGGGUUGGAACGUUUCGGCGGUUGGGGAUGGACUCGCGGCUUAUCAGCUUGUUGGUGGGGUAGUGGCUUACCAAGGCUUUGACGGGUAGCCGGCCUGAGAGGGUGACCGGCCACAUUGGGACUGAGAGACGGCCCAGACUCGUACGGGAGGCAGCAGUGGGGAAUAUGGCACAGUGGGCGGAAGCCUGAUGCAGCAACGCCGCGUGCGGGAUGACGGCCUUCGGGUUGUAAACCGCUGUCGCCUGUGACGAAGCGGGAGUGACGGUAAUGGGUAAAGAAGCACCGGCUAACUACGUG
This 468-nucleotide ribosomal RNA is filed under the name uncultured bacterium. RNAcentral's name for it is "partial 16S ribosomal RNA". It matches the Rfam family "Bacterial small subunit ribosomal RNA", at positions 28 to 507 of the family's 1533-position model. The record is from RNAcentral.